CAGCCGCCACGGGAAUACGAAGGGUGCAAGCGUUACUCGGAAUUACUGGGCGUAAAGCGUGCGUAGGUGGUGGUUUAAGUCCGCUGUGAAAGCCCUGGGCUCAACCUGGGAAUUGCAGUGGAUACUGGGUCACUAGAGUGUGGUAGAGGAUAGUGGAAUUUCCGGUGUAGCAGUGAAAUGCGUAGAGAUCGGAAGGAACAUCUGUGGCGAAGGCGACUAUCUGGGCCAACACUGACACUGAGGCACGAAAGCGUGGGGAGCAAACAGGAUUAGAUACCCCCGUAGUCCCUGUCUCUUAUAC
This 301-nucleotide ribosomal RNA is filed under the name uncultured bacterium. RNAcentral describes it as "partial 16S ribosomal RNA". It matches the Rfam family "Bacterial small subunit ribosomal RNA", at positions 509 to 807 of the family's 1533-position model. The record is from RNAcentral.